GGAACACGUGAGAAACCUGCCUUUCAUUCUGGGAUAACCCCGGGAAACCGGAGCUAAUACCAAAUAUGACCUUGAUAGGCAUCUAUCGAGGUGUAAAGGAUUCUGGUGAGGGAUGGGCCCGCGGCCUAUCAGUUAGUUGGUGAGGUAACGGCUCACCAAGGCGACGACGGGUAGCCGGCCUGAGAGGGCGAUCGGCCACACUGGGACUGAGACACGGCCCAGACUCC
RNAcentral lists this ribosomal RNA (227 nucleotides) under uncultured bacterium. RNAcentral describes it as "partial 16S ribosomal RNA". It matches the Rfam family "Bacterial small subunit ribosomal RNA", at positions 110 to 339 of the family's 1533-position model. The record is from RNAcentral.